UACGGGGGGGGCAAGCGUUGUUCGGAAUUACUGGGCGUAAAGGGCUCGUAGGUGGCCAACUAAGUCAGACGUGAAAUCCCCAGGCUCAACUUGGGAACUGCGUCUGAUACUGGAUGGCUUGAAUUCGGGAGAGGGAUGCAGAAUUCCAGGUGUAGCGGUGAAAUGCGUAGAUAUUCGCAAGAACACCAGUGGCGAAGGCGGCUCACUGGUCCGGUACUGACGCUGAGGUGCGAAAGCGUGGGGAGCAAACAGG
This 253-nucleotide ribosomal RNA is filed under the name uncultured bacterium. RNAcentral describes it as "partial 16S ribosomal RNA". It matches the Rfam family "Bacterial small subunit ribosomal RNA", at positions 524 to 776 of the family's 1533-position model. The record is from RNAcentral.